RNAcentral lists this long non-coding RNA (808 nucleotides) under Olea europaea (common olive). Its description in RNAcentral is "long non-coding RNA (OEUR_LNC010450)". The record is from RNAcentral. Lineage: Eukaryota; Viridiplantae; Streptophyta; Magnoliopsida; Lamiales; Oleaceae.
ACAUUUCUAACACUUUUUAUGGGUUUCAUGAAAAGGUGGAAGUUUAAAACAAGGAAUAUCGACUUUUUGUCUGUGUUAGAUUUGCAUUAAAGAUGCCCAUUUCCUUUUUCUUUUUUCCCCCCUCAAAAUUUGGAUUGGAAUAAAUCUUAUCUAUUUUGUUUUCAAAUUCACAUCAACUUGAUAGUAUUUAUCUUCUAUUUAAAUCAAUGGAAACAAUUUGAAAUGCCUAGACACUCUUGGAUCAUAUAUACGUUUCUUUGAAAUGUGUGUGCAUCAAUACUAUUAUUACUGGUUUCCAUCUAUGGAGUUGGUUAGAGUCCAUUUGAUGGCUUGGUGUGACAAUGGCCGUGACCUGAAGUUGCCAUUCUCGGAUGCUAUAUCUCCGGCCACUCCCCCGGAUCAUUUCGUGUUAGCUCAAGCAAGGACUCUCUUAAAUGGUCAGCUUCAACUAAUUCACCAUCCCUUUUCAGUGUCCACCAUGUGGAAGAAAGUCAAAUAUUGAAAUCAAUAAAGUAGAUUUGGUUUCAUGAGUAUGGAUUUACGUAAACAAUAGGAGCAAAAAAGGGACGGUUUUGAAUUUUUAAAUUAAGGAGUAAAGGAUAAAGCAAUGGGCUUAGGACCAUGUUUCAUUCCACUUUGUGAUCGGGAUUAGGACCAUGUUUCAUUCCACUUUGUUGUAUUUUACCUGGAUGAUCAUUUUUCACAUUAUGAUUUGCUCCUUAUUUACUUGUAUCCUUAAUCCUCAUUAUGCAAGUCCUUCACAUACUCGACUGCUUCUCCAAGAAUGGAAGCUCUAUCCAGAUACAAG